GCAAGUCGAACGAGUUCUGAUUAUUGAAAGGUGCUUGCAUCUUGAUUUAAUUUUGAACGAGUGGCGGACGGGUGAGUAACACGUGGGUAACCUGCCCUUAAGUGGGGGAUAACAUUUGGAAACAGAUGCUAAUACCGCAUAAAUCCAAGAACCGCAUGGUUCUUGGCUGAAAGAUGGCGUAAGCUAUCGCUUUUGGAUGGACCCGCGGCGUAUUAGCUAGUUGGUGAGGUAACGGCUCACCAAGGCAAUGAUACGUAGCCGAACUGAGAGGUUGAUCGGCCACAUUGGGACUGAGACACGGCCCAAACUCCUACGGGAGGCAGCAGUAGGGAAUCUUCCACAAUGGACGCAAGUCUGAUGGAGCAACGCCGCGUGAGUGAAGAAGGCUUUCGGGUCGUAAAACUCUGUUGUUGGAGAAGAAUGGUCGGCAGAGUAACUGUUGUCGGCGUGACGGUAUCCAACCAGAAAGCCACGGCUAACUACGUGCCAGCAGCCGCGGUAAUACGUAGGUGGCAAGCGUUAUCCGGAUUUAUUGGGCGUAAAGCGAGCGCAGGCGGUUUUUUAAGUCUGAUGUGAAAGCCCUCGGCUUAACCGAGGAAGUGCAUCGGAAACUGGGAAACUUGAGUGCAGAAGAGGACAGUGGAACUCCAUGUGUAGCGGUGAAAUGCGUAGAUAUAUGGAAGAACACCAGUGGCGAAGGCGGCUGUCUGGUCUGUAACUGACGCUGAGGCUCGAAAGCAUGGGUAGCGAACAGGAUUAGAUACCCUGGUAGUCCAUGCCGUAAACGAUGAAUGCUAGGUGUUGGAGGGUUUCCGCCCUUCAGUGCCGCAGCUAACGCAUUAAGCAUUCCGCCUGGGGAGUACGACCGCAAGGUUGAAACUCAAAGGAAUUGACGGGGGCCCGCACAAGCGGUGGAGCAUGUGGUUUAAUUCGAAGCAACGCGAAGAACCUUACCAGGUCUUGACAUCUUUUGAUCACCUGAGAGAUCAGGUUUCCCCUUCGGGGGCAAAAUGACAGGUGGUGCAUGGUUGUCGUCAGCUCGUGUCGUGAGAUGUUGGGUUAAGUCCCGCAACGAGCGCAACCCUUAUGACUAGUUGCCAGCAUUUAGUUGGGCACUCUAGUAAGACUGCCGGUGACAAACCGGAGGAAGGUGGGGAUGACGUCAAAUCAUCAUGCCCCUUAUGACCUGGGCUACACACGUGCUACAAUGGAUGGUACAACGAGUUGCGAGACCGCGAGGUCAAGCUAAUCUCUUAAAGCCAUUCUCAGUUCGGACUGUAGGCUGCAACUCGCCUACACGAAGUCGGAAUCGCUAGUAAUCGCGGAUCAGCACGCCGCGGUGAAUACGUUCCCGGGCCUUGUACACACCGCCCGUCACACCAUGAGAGUUUGUAACACCCGAAGCCGGUGGCGUAACCCUUUAGGGAGCGAGCCG
This 1435-nucleotide ribosomal RNA is filed under the name Lacticaseibacillus rhamnosus. RNAcentral's name for it is "bacterial SSU rRNA". It matches the Rfam family "Bacterial small subunit ribosomal RNA". Lineage: Bacteria; Bacillati; Bacillota; Bacilli; Lactobacillales; Lactobacillaceae. The record is from RNAcentral.